UACGGAGGGUGCAAGCGUUAUCCGGAUUUACUGGGUUUAAAGGGUGCGUAGGUGGGUCUGUAAGUCAGUGGUGAAAUCUCCGAGCUUAACUCGGAAACUGCCAUUGAUACUAUAGGUCUUGAAUUAUCUGGAGGUAAGCGGAAUAUGUCAUGUAGCGGUGAAAUGCUUAGAUGUGACAUAGAACACCAAUUGCGAAGGCAGCUUACUACGGAUUGAUUGACACUGAGGCACGAAAGCGUGGGGAUCAAACAGG
Molecule: ribosomal RNA, 253 nt
Filed under: uncultured bacterium
Lineage: Bacteria
Description: partial 16S ribosomal RNA
Rfam family: Bacterial small subunit ribosomal RNA
Source: RNAcentral